GAUGAACGCUAGCGGCAGGCCUAAUACAUGCAAGUCGAACGAGAUUAAGAGGCUUGCUUCUUAUGAAAGUGGCGCACGGGUGCGUAACGCGUAUGCAACCUACCUUAAUCAGGGGGAUAGCCCGAAGAAAUUCGGAUUAAGACCGCAUAAAAACACAGGAUAGCAUUAUCCAAUGUUCAAAUAUUUAUAGGAUUAAGAUGGGCAUGCGUGUCAUUAGCUAGUUGGCGGGGUAACGGCCCACCAAGGCGACGAUGACUAGGGGAUCUGAGAGGAUGACCCCCCACACUGGUACUGAGACACGGACCAGACUCCUACGGGAGGCAGCAGUAAGGAAUAUUGAUCAAUGGAGGGAACUCUGAACCAGCCAUGCCGCGUGCAGGAAGACAGCCCUCUGGGUCGUAAACUGCUUUUAUUCGGGAAUAAACCUUUCUACGUGUAGGAAGCUGAAUGUACCGAAGGAAUAAGGAUCGGCUAACUCCGUG
RNAcentral lists this ribosomal RNA (482 nucleotides) under uncultured bacterium. RNAcentral describes it as "partial 16S ribosomal RNA". It matches the Rfam family "Bacterial small subunit ribosomal RNA", at positions 28 to 507 of the family's 1533-position model. The record is from RNAcentral.